RNAcentral lists this unclassified non-coding RNA (337 nucleotides) under uncultured Mortierellaceae. RNAcentral describes it as "sequence contains ITS2". Lineage: Eukaryota; Fungi; Mortierellomycota; Mortierellomycetes; Mortierellales; Mortierellaceae. The record is from RNAcentral.
AACGCAUAUUGCGCUCUUUGGUAUUCCGAAGAGCAUGCUUGUUUGAGUAUCAGUAAACACCUCAACCUCUCUUUUUUGAUAAAAAAAAAGGGAGGGUGGACUUGAGCUAUCCCAACGACCUUCACCGGUAGGCGGGCGGCUUGAAAUGCAGGUGCAGCUGGACUUUUAUCUGAGCUAAAAGCAUAUCUAUUUAGUCCUCGUCAAACAGGAUUAUUACUUUUGCUGCAGCUAACAUAAAGGAUAAUUGUCCUCUUUGCUGACUGAUGCAGGAUUUUACGACACUUUAUGUGUUGUUCAACUCGAUCUCAAAUCAAGUAAGACUACCCGCUGAACUUAA